CAAAUAGAGGUGAAUUUUUGUUAAAAAUUUUAUUGGAUUCUCCUUCUUCUAUAAGUUUAAAUCUAGCUAAAGGUAUAAGUCUUGUUUAAUGUAUAUAAAAUUAUAAUAUUAAUUAUAAAUUAUUUAGUACAAAAAUUUUUAUAUCUAGCCAAACUAGUUAAGUAAAUAAAUGACCCAUUAGGUGCCAGCAUUCGCGGUUACACCUAUAUUUAGUAUACUCUUCAUGGUUUAGGGGCUACACUAAAAACUUAAAAUCUUUAGAGGUAAAAUUCUGCUUGCUUUUUCAAUAUCGUUAAACCUUAAAAAUUAACCCAUAAACAGGGAUUAGAUACCCCUCUAUAUAAAAUAAAUUCACACCUAGGGUAGUAAAUGCUAUACAACCCCAAACCCAAAGAUUUUGGCGGCAGUCAACCUUUCCAGAGAGACCUGUUUAUUUAUUCGACAAUCCACACUAUAUCUUACUUUUACUAAAACUUGCAUACCGUCAUCUAAAUUUUAUCUUAAGAUAAAUAUUCUAAAGAUAACAAAAAUGUUAGAUCAACGCGCAGUAAAUAUAAAAGCUUAAAAUGGGUCUCAAUUUAAACCAAAUAGAAAAAUCUUUAAACAACCUUUAGAAAGAGGAUUUGGAUGUAAUAAUUUUUUAAAAAAAAAAUAUGAUUAAGCCAUUGACUGUGUACAUAUCGCCCGUCGCCCUCGACCCGAGGUAAGUCGUAACAUAGUAGAAGUACUAGAAAGUGUUUCUUUAUUUAU
Molecule: ribosomal RNA, 750 nt
Filed under: Proasellus rectus
Lineage: Eukaryota; Metazoa; Arthropoda; Malacostraca; Isopoda; Asellidae
Description: 12S ribosomal RNA
Source: RNAcentral